Homo sapiens (human) is the source of this 2188-nucleotide long non-coding RNA. RefSeq lists it as uncharacterized. The transcript is spliced from 4 exons. The record is from RefSeq and is a predicted model, not a curated record. Lineage: Eukaryota; Metazoa; Chordata; Mammalia; Primates; Hominidae.
AGGUGAGAAGGGAGACAUUUAGGAUCUGGGGCUAAGCUGGCACAGAUUCUCCUUCCUGUUCUAAGGAGGCUAGAAGUGCAUCCUGGCGAUGGCUGUGGAGGGAGAGGACCGGCUGUCUGGAUGCUGGUCAGUGUGUGGAAACAGAGGGGGCUGUGCUGCCAACCCAGGCAUCUAUGACAUCAGAUACCCUCAGCCUGGAGGGAGUAAAGAGCCCUCUUUCCCAGCCGGUCUGGACUCUGAUGACUAGAUUUCCUUACAGCCAUUCAUCAAAACAGGAACUGCCCUCAUCCUACAAAAUGGCUUUUCAACCAGGACAAGAGCACAGCUCUAGGGGAGAAAUUGCCUCUGGCUCCCUGAACUUCCGGUGGCACCUACCGUCUUAACACAUUAGCUCAACACCUGCCAGUGCUGUCCUCAGAAACCUUAAUGGGACAUGGGCAUCAUCCCUCACACUGCGGACAGCCUACCAAACGGGAAGGAAUUGCUCAUCCCCAGACACGAAUUCCUUCCAACUUGAUGGGGUGGGGUGUUGGGGAGAUGGGGCAGGUCUUCCCCAGGAAACCCUUCAUUUCCCAUCAUCCCUGACUUAGAAGAUAAGUCCCUUGUGAAUCCCUCUGAAAGUGUUCCUGGGUUGCUGCAUUGUCUCAGCCUCCUUCACACAGAUGCCUUUGCUCCUUCAGCCUGGCACUUCCUGAGCAGCUCCUAGCCGCCAUGCCUCUCACCCAGGCCAGCCUGACUGCCGACCACCAUUCCCAGACCCUGCGCCGCUGAGGGAUCCCAGCCAGGCUGGUCCCCAGACCUCUGCACACCACAACCCUAACGACCUCCGAGGAUGGGUCUCCCUCAAGAGGCGGGAUUUGUCACUCUUCCAAAUGGCCACCAGGUCCUGGAUGGAGUUUCAGCCUUGUUGCCCAGGCUGGAGUGCGAUGGCACCACCUCGGCUCACUGCAACCUCCACCUCCUGGGUUCAAGCGAUUCUCCUGCCCCAGCCUCCCAAGUAGCUGGGACUACAGGCUAAUGGAAUGCUAAGGCCAGAACUGUACCCUACCAACCUCAGAUGUGGAAACAGAGGUUCUUGAAGGACAAGACUUGCCUAAGGUCUCACUAACCAAACGGUCCUUCCACGACCUAUUCUAUGAUGGCACAUGCCAAUGGAGGGCAAUUUUUCAUCCAGGAAUGUGACUCUCAGGGAAGUUCUCUGUCCUAUGAAAGGUAUGCCACUUGGUGCAUGAUGGGGACCACACAAGAUGACAAGAAGGGUAGGCAGUGUCUGUCAUCUCCACCCUCCCCAGCUUGUUUGAGGCCCAACAUCUGGGGUGUUGUGGAAGAAGAAUCAGGUUCUAUUGAUGUUUCCCCUGGCCUAAUGGCCCCUCCUCAAUCCCAGCGGUAUAUCCCCCAUGGAGGAAAGCUGUAAAGAAGCUCCAACAUUUAGUUGAGAAUGUUCAUUGCCCCUUCUUAAAAGACUAAGGGGACGGGUGUGGUGGCUCAUGCCUGUAAUCCCAGCACUUUGGGAGGCCAAGGCGGGCAGAUCACCUGCGGUCAGGAGUUCGAGACCAGCCUGGCCAACAUGGUGAAACCCCGUCUCUACUAAAAAUACAAAAAUUAGCCAGGCCUGGUGGCAUAUGCCUGUAAUCCCAGCUACUCGAGAGGCUCUGAGGCAGGAUAAUCACUUGAACCCAGGAGGUGGAGGUUGCAGUGAGCUGAGACUGUGCCACUGAACUCUAGCCUGGGCGACAAGAGCAAAACUCCAUCUCAAAAAUAAAUAAAAAGAGACUAAGGGCCUAUACCUUAAUGUGUUGCCAUGUUGAAGAAGAGGAAGAGAGGGUAGCAAUCCAAUUAGAAUUAAGAAAUUUAGGCCGGGCGCGGUGGCUCACGCUUGUAGUCCCAGCACUUUGGGAGGCUGAGGCAGGUAGAUCAUGAGGUCAGGAGUUCGAGACAAGCCUGGCCAACAUGGUGGAACCCUGUCUCUACCAAAAAAAACACAAAAAUUAGCCGGGCGUGAUGGCACAUAACUGUAAUCCCAGCUGCUCGGGAGGCUGAGGGAGGAGAAUCGCUGGAACCCGGGAGGCAGAGGUUGCAGUGAGCCGAGAUCGCGCCACUGCACUCCAGCCUGGGCGACAGAGCAAGACUCCGUCUCAAAAAAAAAGAAAAAAAGAAAUUUUAGAGUGUAAGGUAAACAGGGGAGAUG